Podarcis raffonei (Aeolian wall lizard) is the source of this 102-nucleotide long non-coding RNA. RefSeq lists it as uncharacterized. NCBI's taxonomy places the organism in Eukaryota, Metazoa, Chordata, Lepidosauria, Squamata, Lacertidae. The transcript is spliced from 2 exons. The record is from RefSeq and is a predicted model, not a curated record.
UUCAGAUGUAACAGUAAACCAUGGUUUAGCACUAUGGCAGCUUUUGCUAAUCAGGAGCCCUUUCUGCUGUCCUGCCUGGUGCUCAGUGGCGGAGCAAGCCAA